AUUGAACGCUGGCGGCAGGCUUAACACAUGCAAGUCGAGCGGGGUGAUGGUGCUUGCACUAUCACUUAGCGGCGGACGGGUGAGUAAUGCUUAGGAAUCUGCCUAUUAGUGGGGGACAACAUCUCGAAAGGGAUGCUAAUACCGCAUACGUCCUACGGGAGAAAGCAGGGGAUCACUUGUGACCUUGCGCUAAUAGAUGAGCCUAAGUCGGAUUAGCUAGUUGGUGGGGUAAAGGCCUACCAAGGCGACGAUCCGUAGCGGGUCUGAGAGGAGGAUCCGCCACACUGGGACUGGGACACGGCCCAGACUCCUACGGGAGGCAGCAGUGGGGAAUAUUGGACAAUGGGGGGAACCCUGAUCCAGCCAUGCCGCGUGUGUGAAGAAGGCCUUAUGGUUGUAAAGCACUUUAAGCGAGGAGGAGGCUUACCUAGUUAAUACCUGGGAUAAGUGGACGUUACUCGCAGAAUAAGCACCGGCUAACUCUGUGCCAGCCGCCGCGGUAA
Molecule: ribosomal RNA, 503 nt
Filed under: uncultured bacterium
Lineage: Bacteria
Description: partial 16S ribosomal RNA
Rfam family: Bacterial small subunit ribosomal RNA
Source: RNAcentral